RNAcentral lists this ribosomal RNA (1454 nucleotides) under Acetobacter pasteurianus. RNAcentral's name for it is "bacterial SSU rRNA". It matches the Rfam family "Bacterial small subunit ribosomal RNA". Lineage: Bacteria; Pseudomonadati; Pseudomonadota; Alphaproteobacteria; Acetobacterales; Acetobacteraceae. The record is from RNAcentral.
GUGGCAAAGGGGUGCUAUACUGCAGUCGAGCGAUCGAUCGGGAGCUUGCUCCCUGAGAUUAGCGGCGGACGGGUGAGUAACACGUGGGCAACCUGCCUAUAAGACUGGGAUAACUUCGGGAAACCGGAGCUAAUACCGGAUACGUUCUUUUCUCGCAUGAGAGAAGAUGGAAAGACGGUUUACGCUGUCACUUAUAGAUGGGCCCGCGGCGCAUUAGCUAGUUGGUGAGGUAAUGGCUCACCAAGGCGACGAUGCGUAGCCGACCUGAGAGGGUGAUCGGCCACACUGGGACUGAGACACGGCCCAAACUCCUACGGGAGGCAGCAGUAGGGAAUCUUCCGCAAUGGACGAAAGUCUGACGGAGCAACGCCGCGUGAACGAAAAAGGCCUUCGGGUCGUAAAGUUCUGUUGUUAGGGAAGAACAAGUACCAGAGUAACUGCUGGUACCUUGACGGUACCUAACCAGAAAGCCGCGGCUAACUACGUGCCAGCAGCCGCGGUAAUACGUAGGUGGCAAGCGUUGUCCGGAAUUAUUGGGCGUAAAGCGCGCGCAGGUGGUUCCUUAAGUCUGAUGUGAAAGCCCACGGCUCACCCGUGGAGGGUCAUUGGAAACUGGGGAACUUGAGUGCAGAAGAGGAAGUGGAAUUCCAAGUGUAGCGGUGAAAUGCGUAGAGAUUUGGAGGAACACCAGUGGCGAAGGCGACUUUCUGGUCUGUAACUGACACUGAGGCGCGAAAGCGUGGGGAGCAACAGGAUUAGAUACCCUGGUAGUCCACGCCGUACACGAUGAGUGCUAAGUGUUAGAGGGUUUCCGCCCUUUAGUGCUGCAGCUAACGCAUUAAGCACUCCGCCUGGGGAGUACGGCCGCAAGGCUGAAACUCAAAGGAAUUGACGGGGGCCCGCACAAGCGGUGGAGCAUGUGGUUUAAUUCGAAGCAACGCGAAGAACCUUACCAGGUCUUGACAUCCUCUGACAACCCCAGAGAUAGGGCUUUCCCCUUCGGGGGACAGAGUGACAGGUGGUGCAUGGUUGUCGUCAGCUCGUGUCGUGAGAUGUUGGGUUAAGUCCCGCAACGAGCGCAACCCUUGAUUUUAGUUGCCAGCAUUCAGUUGGGCACUUUAAGGUGACUGCCGGUGACAAACCGGAGGAAGGUGGGGAUGACGUCAAAUCAUCAUGCCCCUUAUGACCUGGGCUACACACGUGCUACAAUGGAUGGUACAAAGGGCUGCAAACCUGCGAAGGUAAGCGAAUCCCAUAAAGCCAUUCUCAGUUCGGAUUGCAGGCUGCAACUCGCCUGCAUGAAGCCGGAAUCGCUAGUAAUCGCGGAUCAGCAUGCCGCGGUGAAUACGUUCCCGGGCCUUGUACACACCGCCCGUCACACCACGAGAGUUUGUAACACCCGAAGUCGGUGAGGUAACCUUCAUGGAGCCAGCCGCCUAAGUGCACAGAUUUGU